AGUAACUGGAUAAAGUGCUCCCUCUACUGGACAUGUUGGUGAACUGUGUGUGGACCCUGGUGAGACUCAAAGGAAGUGUCUGUCUGUACCUGAGGGCAGGGACCUUCAGGACAGACAGACACAGCAGCAGCAGUCUGGACUUUAUUUAUCCAGCCCCCUCUGCUCAAACAUGACUGACACAGUGUGGGGUAACAGGUGCCACGGUGGCUUACUCCUCAGUCACAUGCUGCAUGCAGCACGAACUGAUUUAACCUUAAAGGCUCUGUGUAAAUGCAUUUAUUGUCUAAUUAUUUCCUAGGUGUUUGAAAAGCAUCACAGACACACACAGUGUUCGGGUUUUCUUGUUAAGUGUUCAAAUGCCUUGUGGAUUGGUCAUGAACUAGACUAGUAGCAGAUAAACGUUCCAGUUAACAUUAAGGUGCACUUUUUUAAAGUCUUUUAGGUGUUUGCCAUUGGCCAAUCUUAACUUGAAUGUUGUUGUAGUGUUUGCUGAAUGUUUUAUAGGAGAACUGUAAAAGAAGGGAGAAGUCGGCAGACGUCAUCUUAUUUUAGGUCAAAUAUCGUCAUUUAAAGGUAAUGCCAAUGGGGAAUGCAUAUACAGCUCAUUAAGUUAGUACGUUUGAUGUGCUGCUGUUGAAUUUCAGGGAGAUAAAAUGUUUUCUGACAGCUUACUGUUUUGCAAAACUUACGUCCUAUGAAAAAUAGGUGUAACAUCAUAAUUAUACUGUUAAUGCCUGACACUACUUAUUCUCUUAAUAGGCCAAGUGAUCCUUUGUAUGGAAGUGUACUGUUGCCAGGAUUAGAAUCAUAUUUAUAACAAGACGCUUUUGACAUAUUUUCACAGUCUGAUAAGAUAUUUUCAUGUUUUCAUGACAUACAUACAAUAUGAUCAUAUAAAAACACUAUUUAUCUUCAUCAAUACACUAUUUGCUUUAGUAUAAUGUAAAACAGACUGUGUGAAAGUCAUCUGCAAAUAUCUCAUUAUAACAUUAAAACUCCUUAUGCCAUCAUCUUGUUAUAACUACUUUUGGCAGUGAUAUGCUUCCAUACCUUCUGUACGAGACUGAAACUGAAUGCCUUACCUCUCAUCUCACUGCUGUGUAACCUCAUAUAUACGAUGAACCGUCCAUGUACUGUACCGCAUCGAUGAACUUGCAUUCCCAGCAUGAGCAGCAGUGGCUCUGGUGUGUCCUCUGCCCUAAAAAGUGCCUGUGGGUCUUGUCUUGAUCUCCUCAGGACCUCUUAACCUUAUCUGCUUUUUUUUUCUAUGCCUCCUAUGUGAUGUAACACGCUGUAAUAAAUAUUUAAGGCUAUGUUUAUGUUGACUCAGAUUUAACUACACAGAACUAUCAACUAUGAUGGAUAAAAUGUAAAAUAUUUUAUUUAAAGAAAUCGCCUUUAUUUAACAACUGGCUGACAGGAGUUGAUGCAUUCAUUCAGGUCAAAAAUGAUUGAUAGCCAAGUGAAUAUAGUCAAAAGUGAGCCAUUAAAUUCACUCAAACACUUUCUGUUGGGUAUGUCCUCAAGGGAACAACAAAAGUACAAAACCACUUGAGCUUACUAUCACGUCACAGAACAUUUAAGACACAGCAGUAACAAAAACAUGAGUUACAUCUUCAGAACAUACUGGCAGUCACACUGAUCCAGAAAUUUUUUAACAAUUCCUUUACUUAUCAGUUAAUAUCCAUGUUUAUUGUGUCUCUUGUGCUUUAAUGGAAGAUAGUUAAGUGCUGCUGUUAAAUAUUAAUAUUUUUAACUUCCUGUCUGAGCUGAAAUAAAGAGGCUCCAGGUGAGUUUUAGAGA
Sphaeramia orbicularis (orbiculate cardinalfish) is the source of this 1803-nucleotide long non-coding RNA. RefSeq lists it as uncharacterized. Lineage: Eukaryota; Metazoa; Chordata; Actinopteri; Kurtiformes; Apogonidae. The transcript is spliced from 2 exons. The record is from RefSeq and is a predicted model, not a curated record.